GUCGUGAGAUGUUGGGUUAAGUCCCGUAACGAGCGCAACCCUUGUCCUUAGUUACCAGCACCUCGGGUGGGCACUUUAAGGAGACUGCCGGUGACAAACCGGAGGAAGGUGGGGAUGACGUCAAGUCAUCAUGGCCCUUACGGCCAGGGCUACACACGUGCUACAAUGGUCGGUACAGAGCGUCGCCAAGCCGCGAGGUGGAGCUAAUCGCACAAAACCGAUCGUAGUCCGGAUCGCAGUCUGCAACUCGACUGCGUGAAGUCGGAAUCGCUAGUAAUCGUGAAUCAGAAUGUCACGGUGAAUACGUUCCCGGGCCUUGUACACACCGCCCGUCACACCAUGGGAGUGGGUUGCUCCAGAAGUAGCUAGUCUAACCCUCGGGAGGACGGUUACCACGGAGUGAUUCAUGACUGGGGUGAAGUCGUAACAAGGUAGCCGUAGGGGAACCUGCGGCUGGAACACCUCCUUGGAUCCGCC
This 477-nucleotide ribosomal RNA is filed under the name uncultured Pseudomonas sp. RNAcentral describes it as "bacterial SSU rRNA". It matches the Rfam family "Bacterial small subunit ribosomal RNA", at positions 1064 to 1533 of the family's 1533-position model. The record is from RNAcentral. Lineage: Bacteria; Pseudomonadati; Pseudomonadota; Gammaproteobacteria; Pseudomonadales; Pseudomonadaceae.